UUAUAUUAGAAAAGCUUUAAGAAGUUUUUGUUCGAGGAGGACAGAACAAAUUUUAAAAAUGUUUUUAAUUGCUUUUUUAAAAAAGGACUGUGUUUCUGAGAAUAUGUUUCUAUGAUCUAGAGUGUCAUAGUGUUGUAGAAGUGUAAUUUGUCUUGAACCUCCAUUGUUUAGAAUUCAGUAUGUCCUUUGGUUUUCACUGUGACGUCACUGGUGAGAUUUAAAAGAGAUGGCCUGGCAAAAGAAAAGAGGGGAAGGAUAUAAUUCAGGAGGUUGUAGUAAAGGAAGGUUCUAUGGGGGUGCAAUUUCCUGAGGGUGGUGAAAUAAAUGAUGGGGGAAGCUUCUAGGAUAGCUUUAAUUUCUUGAGUUAAGUUAGUCUGUAAAAUGAUAGAGGUUUUUUUUUUUUUUUUUUAACCAAACGAUGUGAGGCCCCUCUGUUGGGGCCCUAGCCGCACUGAAGCUCCCCUAGCUUGGUCAGGGAGUUCUUUCCCAUCCAAGUUCAUACUGCCAAUAACGAAACUGAGUUUGGUGCAAGCAAGACAGACUUUUAUUCAACUUCCAGAGAAUGGAGAGGGGGAGCUCAUGCUCUAAAGGCACCUUCUCCCCGGGAGGAAGGCAGUCAGGGAAUUUCCAGGGUCAGGAGACGGAUUCUAGGAAAGGGGUGGAGAUUUCCAGGGGCAGCCGGGCAUGUUCAGUCUUCCACACUCCUUUGCACAUGGCACCAGUUGUACCUAACAGAGUACAAAUCCCCACUUUGGAUGGAGACUUUAGCAUGGUGAUGAAGCAAAGAUAAACCUUGGAGACCUCCAGGUUUCAUCUGCGUAGACACCUUCCUGUGGUCAUAACAGAGCCAGCUCUGGGUGGUUGACCACUGUAUAUCUCUCCAAGCAUUUGUUUCUCCUAGUACAGCUGCAGAGCCUCUCUGCCAAAUACCAGGUACUUUGGAAACAAACACAGAGAUAAAUCAGGCAAGUGCUCUCCAGCUCUCAGGGAUUAGUUUGGAAAGACAGAAAUAAAUCAAGGCAAGGAAAGUGAUGAUCCUCAGUCUACUUUGUGUGCCGUCUUGGAUGUAUUCAGUUCAGUUUGGUUAGAUAUCCUAGAAAAAUAUAUUGUAAUUUAUAACAUAUUCCAGUUGUGUUGGCUAAUGAAAAUAAACUAUAGUCAGAUGGGGGAAAAUGUUAAGAUGGUACGUAUAUUUUAUGUUACG
This 1204-nucleotide long non-coding RNA is filed under the name Capra hircus (goat). RNAcentral's name for it is "lncRNA (ENSCHIG00010009200.1)". The record is from RNAcentral. Lineage: Eukaryota; Metazoa; Chordata; Mammalia; Artiodactyla; Bovidae.